RNAcentral lists this ribosomal RNA (253 nucleotides) under uncultured bacterium. Its description in RNAcentral is "partial 16S ribosomal RNA". It matches the Rfam family "Bacterial small subunit ribosomal RNA", at positions 524 to 776 of the family's 1533-position model. The record is from RNAcentral.
UACAGAGGUCUCAAGCGUUGUUCGGAUUCAUUGGGCGUAAAGGGUGCGUAGGCGGUGCGGAAAGUCGGGUGUGAAAUCCCCCAGCUCAACUGGGGAAUUGCGCCUGAAACUACCGUGCUCGAGGAAGACAGAGGUACGCGGAACUUAGGGUGGAGCGGUGAAAUGCGUUGAUAUCCUAAGGAACACCGGUGGCGAAGGCGGUUGCCUGGAGCUUUGCUGACGCUGAGGCGCGAAAGCGUGGGGAGCGAUCCGG